Molecule: non-coding RNA, 238 nt
Organism: Pelobates cultripes (western spadefoot toad)
Lineage: Eukaryota; Metazoa; Chordata; Amphibia; Anura; Pelobatidae
Source: the annotation of a GenBank genome assembly
CUCCAACAGAAGCCUUAAUGUGUCACAGAACGAGUGCAAAAGCUCUUGCCAACAAAACCAUUUCCCUCCCACCACCACCCACCCACAAAGCUGUUCCAGGAACCAUAUCAACAGUGAGUGUUUGUAGCAAUAUUAUAACAUGUUUCCUUCUUAGCCAUGUUGGUAAGUUCCUUGUGUUAUCUGAUACAGGGUGUAUUUGAACAGUUCUGCGUAAAAGAACAUUUUCUACUGUUACUAG